AACGACUCUCGGCAACGGAUAUCUCGGCUCUCGCAUCGAUGAAGAACGUAGCGAAAUGCGAUACUUGGUGUGAAUUGCAGAAUCCCGUGAACCAUCGAGUCUUUGAACGCAAGUUGCGCCCAAAGCCUUCCGGCCGAGGGCACGUCUGCCUGGGCGUUACGC
Molecule: ribosomal RNA, 162 nt
Filed under: Opuntia cubensis
Lineage: Eukaryota; Viridiplantae; Streptophyta; Magnoliopsida; Caryophyllales; Cactaceae
Description: 5.8S ribosomal RNA
Rfam family: 5.8S ribosomal RNA
About the family: 5.8S ribosomal RNA (5.8S rRNA) is a component of the large subunit of the eukaryotic ribosome. It is transcribed by RNA polymerase I as part of the 45S precursor that also contains 18S and 28S rRNA. Functionally, it is thought that 5.8S rRNA may be involved in ribosome translocation.
Source: RNAcentral